This 466-nucleotide ribosomal RNA is filed under the name uncultured bacterium. RNAcentral describes it as "partial 16S ribosomal RNA". It matches the Rfam family "Bacterial small subunit ribosomal RNA", at positions 28 to 506 of the family's 1533-position model. The record is from RNAcentral.
GACGAACGCUGGCGGCGUGCUUAACACAUGCAAGUCGAACGGAAAGGCUCCAGCUUGCUGGAGUACUCGAGUGGCGAACGGGUGAGUAACACGUGGGUAAUCUGCCCUGCACUCUGGGAUAAGCCUGGGAAACUGGGUCUAAUACUGGAUAUGACCUUUCUCCUUAUGGGGUUUGGUGGAAAGUUUUUCGGUGUAGGAUGAGCCCGCGGCCUAUCAGCUUGUUGGUGGGGUGAUGGCCUACCAAGGCGACGACGGGUAGCCGGCCUGAGAGGGUGAUCGGCCACAUUGGGACUGAGAUACGGCCCAGACUCCUACGGGAGGCAGCAGGGGGGAAUAUUGCACAAUGGGCGGAAGCCUGAUGCAGCGACGCCGCGUGAGGGAUGACGGCCUUCGGGUUGUAAACCUCUUUCAGCAGGGACGAAGCGUAAGUGACGGUACCUGCAGAAGAAGCACCGGCUAACUAUGU